Molecule: non-coding RNA, 28 nt
Filed under: Mus musculus (house mouse)
Lineage: Eukaryota; Metazoa; Chordata; Mammalia; Rodentia; Muridae
Source: RNAcentral
UCCGCCUUCAUGAAUUCUCAGGGACCUG